RNAcentral lists this non-coding RNA (170 nucleotides) under Clostridium acidisoli. Its description in RNAcentral is "T-box sequence". It matches the Rfam family "T-box leader". From Rfam's summary of the family: Uncharged tRNA acts as the effector for transcription antitermination of genes in the T-box leader family. T-boxes are found upstream of many aminoacyl-tRNA synthetase genes and some amino acid biosynthetic genes usually in Gram-positive bacteria. The record is from RNAcentral. Lineage: Bacteria; Bacillati; Bacillota; Clostridia; Eubacteriales; Clostridiaceae.
UUUAAGGUGAUGAUGGGAAGUAGUAAAUAUCUUGAUAUAUAAAGAGAGGAAGUGGAUGGUGAAAACUUCUUAAUCAAUUUAUUGAAGCAGUCCUUGAACUGUGAUUUUUAAGUGACACAAGUAUAUGUGUAAUUAGGGUGGUACCGCGGAAGUUAGCUUUCGUCCCUUGC